AGAGUUUGAUCCUGGCUCAGAACGAACGCUGGCGGCAGGCCUAACACAUGCAAGUCGAACGCUCCGCAAGGGGAGUGGCAGACGGGUGAGUAACACGUGGGAAUCUUCCUAUUGGUAUGGAAUAGCUCAGGGAAACUUGGGGUAAUACCGUAUAAGCCCGAGAGGGGAAAGAUUUAUCGCCAAUAGAUGAGCCCGCGUCUGAUUAGCUAGUUGGUGAGGUAAUGGCUCACCAAGGCGACGAUCAGUAGCUGGUCUGAGAGGAUGAUCAGCCACACUGGGACUGAGACACGGCCCAGACUCCUACGGGAGGCAGCAGUGGGGAAUAUUGGACAAUGGGCGCAAGCCUGAUCCAGCCAUGCCGCGUGAGUGACGAAGGUCUUCGGAUUGUAAAGCUCUUUUGGCGGGGACGAUAAUGACGGUACCCGCAGAAUAAGCCCCGGCUAACUUCGUGCCAGCAGCCGCGGUAAUACGAAGGGGGCUAGCGUUGUUCGGAAUCACUGGGCGUAAAGCGCACGUAGGCGGAUUUGUUAGUCAGGGGUGAAAUCCCGGGGCUCAACCUCGGAACUGCCUCUGAUACUGCAGAUCUCGAGUCCGAUAGAGGUGAGUGGAAUUCCUAGUGUAGAGGUGAAAUUCGUAGAUAUUAGGAAGAACACCAGUGGCGAAGGCGGCUCACUGGAUCGGUACUGACGCUGAGGUGCGAAAGCGUGGGGAGCAAACAGAAUUAGAUACCCUGGUAGUCC
RNAcentral lists this ribosomal RNA (740 nucleotides) under uncultured bacterium. Its description in RNAcentral is "bacterial SSU rRNA". It matches the Rfam family "Bacterial small subunit ribosomal RNA", at positions 8 to 796 of the family's 1533-position model. The record is from RNAcentral.